Molecule: long non-coding RNA, 1026 nt
Filed under: Homo sapiens (human)
Lineage: Eukaryota; Metazoa; Chordata; Mammalia; Primates; Hominidae
Description: HSALNT0093975
Source: RNAcentral
AAGAGAAGGUAUGUUGUUUCAAAUAAGAAAAACAGUAUAUGCAAAGUCUUUAAGAAGAGCAUUACAUGUUGAAAAGCUUAUAAGAAGUUAGUUAUGAAUGGACAAGAGGGUGUGAGGCAGGAAAGAACAGUAGCAAAAGUAGAAGCUACACAAGGCCAGGUAAUAAAGGGGUUCAUGAUCAUCCUAGGGUAUUUAAACUUGAUCCUAAGGGAACUUACUUUAUUUAGAGUACUGUCAUUACUAUGUUUAUGUUUCAGAAAGAUCACUCUGACUGCUACAUGGAAAAUGUGCUGGGGAGAAACAAGACUGCAGGAAAUAAGAGCAGUGAACAAGCUCUUGCUGUAAUUCAAGUCAGGUGUAGAAGCUGGAGCUGGAGCAGCCAUUCUGAACUAUGUCGAAAAUCUACCUGGAAAUAAAAAGUUGACUCACCGAUUCACACCAUUUCCAUUUGUCUUGGUCUGGCUUUGGUGUCGGGGCAUUUCCAGUCUCAUAAAAUGACUUUGCGUAACACAUGGAAACUAAUGGUGUUCUACAAUUGCUGAAGCAAGUGUAACACUAAAGAAGCCUUAUGGAAAGAUUCCUGUGGCUGACCCAGGAGUAGUGGUGAAUUUCUCCAUCAAGAGCUGCACUCGGGCAAUGGGAAGGGGAAAUCAUCCGAGCUUAGCAGGCUGGGAGGUCACCUGUGACUGUCACAGGUAGGCUGCCUUAGGAAAUGAAUUAUUCUGACUGGCGGUGAGUAAAAAGGGAAGCAGCCCUUCUCCUGUUUCACUCCAAGACACGCAGCCAGUCAAUUUAACCUUUUCUCUUAAGAAGUCACAGCUCAAUCCUUUGUUAAGGGGGACUUUCAUUUUCUCACUCCUCUGUGCCUUCUUCAAUGCUGUGAUGCCAAGAAAAAAAAAAAAAUACCAACCCCGGGAAAAGCGCUUCCCUUGGAUAAAGAGAUGCCAAAUGCGCCAAAUAGGCUGUGUGAGCCAGGCAGCAUUGGAGGGAACAAAGCGCAGUAUAUUUCCAAAUAAAACUUCAAAG